ACUGAGCAGCACGUGUCCUAUUCUGCCAUUGGCCCUAUCUCUUCCCCUUCUUUUGCUGCUGCUGAAUUGUGUCAGAAUGAGAAGUAGUGUGGAUUGAAGGAUGCAAACAAGAAUCCCAUCUUCUCACAGAGAAGCACAGGAGCGAACAAACAUGAGUUCGGCCCUCAGCAUAGUUACCGCACCUGCAAAUCUGAUGAAGCUCCAACCAUUUCCGACUAUUAUUUGGAGAAAAAUUGAUGUAGACAUAUCCUUCUCCCCUCCUGCAAAUCAUCCUUUGGAGCUUAGCUUCAAGCCAAUGUUUCCCAUUGUGUGACUGAGAAGGCCAGGGAAGGACUGUAGCCCAGUAGAAGAACAUCUGCUUUGCAAACAGAAG
This is a non-coding RNA of Zootoca vivipara (common lizard), 373 nucleotides long. Lineage: Eukaryota; Metazoa; Chordata; Lepidosauria; Squamata; Lacertidae. The record is from RefSeq and is a predicted model, not a curated record.